UUCCAUCUGGAAGAAUCUGGAGACAGGUGCUGCAUGGCCUGUCGUCAGCUCGUGUCGUGACGAUGUUGGGUUAAGUCCCGGCAACGAGCGCAACCCUUGCCUUAGUUGCCAGCAGUUCGGCUGGGCACUCUAAAGGGACUGCCGGUGUUAAACCGGAGGAAGGUGGGGAUGACGUCAAGUCCUCAUGGCCUUUAUGACCAGGGCUACACACGUACUACAAUGGCCGAUACAAAGGGCAGCGACACUGCGAGGUGAAGCCAAUCCCGUAAAAUCGGUCUCAGUCCGGAUUGGAGUCUGCAACUCGACUCCAUGAAGUUGGAAUCGCUAGUAAUCGUGGAUCAGCAUGCCACGGUGAAUACGUUCCCGGGCCUU
Molecule: ribosomal RNA, 372 nt
Filed under: uncultured Desulfobulbus sp.
Lineage: Bacteria; Pseudomonadati; Thermodesulfobacteriota; Desulfobulbia; Desulfobulbales; Desulfobulbaceae
Description: bacterial SSU rRNA
Rfam family: Bacterial small subunit ribosomal RNA
Source: RNAcentral